RNAcentral lists this ribosomal RNA (254 nucleotides) under uncultured bacterium. Its description in RNAcentral is "partial 16S ribosomal RNA". It matches the Rfam family "Bacterial small subunit ribosomal RNA", at positions 524 to 777 of the family's 1533-position model. The record is from RNAcentral.
UACGAAGGGGGCUAGCGUUGCUCGGAAUCACUGGGCGUAAAGGGUGCGUAGGCGGGUCUUUAAGUCAGGGGUGAAAUCCUGGAGCUCAACUCCAGAACUGCCUUUGAUACUGAGGAUCUUGAGUUCGGGAGAGGUGAGUGGAACUGCGAGUGUAGAGGUGAAAUUCGUAGAUAUUCGCAAGAACACCAGUGGCGAAGGCGGCUCACUGGCCCGAUACUGACGCUGAGGCACGAAGACCAGGGGAGCAAACGGGG